Molecule: ribosomal RNA, 405 nt
Filed under: Trapezia tigrina
Lineage: Eukaryota; Metazoa; Arthropoda; Malacostraca; Decapoda; Trapeziidae
Description: partial 16S large subunit ribosomal RNA
Rfam family: Bacterial large subunit ribosomal RNA
Source: RNAcentral
GAGUUAAAGAGCCGCGGUAAUUUGACCGUGCAAAGGUAGCAUAAUCAUUAGUUUCUUAAUUGGGAACUUGUAUGAAAGGUUUGACAAAGAAAAAGCUGUCUUUAUUAUAAAAAUUGAACUUAACUUUUAAGUGAAAAGGCUUAAAUAAUUUAGAGGGACGAUAAGACCCUAUAAAGCAUUUUGUUGGGGUGAUAUUAAUAAAAUUAUUAACUGUUAAAAAACAAUACGUAAAUAAAAGGAGUGAUCCUUAAUUAAAGAUUAAAAGAUUAAGUUACUUUAGGGAUAACAGCGUAAUUUUUCUUGAGAGCCCAUAUCGAAAGAAAAGAUUUCGACCUCGAUGUUGAAUUAAGAUAUCUGUGUAGAGUAGUCGUUACAUAAGAAGGUCUGUUCGACCUUUAAACUUUU